RNAcentral lists this ribosomal RNA (253 nucleotides) under uncultured bacterium. RNAcentral's name for it is "partial 16S ribosomal RNA". It matches the Rfam family "Bacterial small subunit ribosomal RNA", at positions 524 to 776 of the family's 1533-position model. The record is from RNAcentral.
GACGUAGGGCGCGAGCGUUGUCCGGAUUUAUUGGGCGUAAAGAGCUCGUAGGCGGCUUGUCGCGUCGAAUGUGAAAUCUCGGGGCUCAACUCCGAGCUUGCAUUCGAUACGGGCAGGCUAGAGUUCGGUAGGGGAGACUGGAAUUCCUGGUGUAGCGGUGAAAUGCGCAGAUAUCAGGAGGAACACCGGUGGCGAAGGCGGGUCUCUGGGCCGUAACUGACGCUGAGGAGCGAAAGCGUGGGGAGCGAACAGG